Molecule: ribosomal RNA, 494 nt
Filed under: uncultured bacterium
Lineage: Bacteria
Description: partial 16S ribosomal RNA
Rfam family: Bacterial small subunit ribosomal RNA
Source: RNAcentral
GACGAACGCUGGCGGCGUGCUUAACACAUGCAAGUCGAACGGUGAAGCGCCUUCCUUUUUGGUGGGUGUGGAUGAGUGGCGAACGGGUGAGUAACACGUGAGUAACCUGCCCCCUUCUUCUGGAUAACCGCAUGAAAGUGUGGCUAAUACGGGAAAUUCUGGGUCUGUCGCAUGAUGGGUCUGGGAAAGAUAUUGUUUCGGUGGGGGAUGGGCUCGCGGCCUAUCAGCUUGUUGGUGGGGUGAUGGCCUACCAAGGCGGUGACGGGUAGCCGGCCUGGGAGGGUGGACGGUCACACUGGGACUGAGACACGGCCCAGACUCCUACGGGAGGCAGCAGUGGGGAAUAUUGCACAAUGGGCGCAAGCCUGAUGCAGCGACGCCGCGUGAGGGAUGGAGGCCUUCGGGUUGUGAACCUCUUUCGCCAGUGAAGCAGGCCUGCCUCGUUUGUGGGUGGGUUGACGGUAGCUGGAUAAGAAGCGCCGGCUAACUACGUG